CGGGUGCGUAACGCGUAUGCAACCUACCCUGUACUGGAGGAUAGCCCGAAGAAAUUCGGAUUAAGACUCCAUAGUAUCAAGACACGGCAUCGUGAUUUGAUUAAAGGUUACGGUACAGGAUGGGCAUGCGUCCCAUUAGCUAGAUGGUAAGGUAACGGCUUACCAUGGCAACGAUGGGUAGGGGGCCUGAGAGGGUGAUCCCCCACACUGGUACUGAGACACGGACCAGACUCC
Molecule: ribosomal RNA, 234 nt
Filed under: uncultured bacterium
Lineage: Bacteria
Description: partial 16S ribosomal RNA
Rfam family: Bacterial small subunit ribosomal RNA
Source: RNAcentral